UACGUAGGCAGCGAGCGUUGUUCGGAGUUACUGGGCGUAAAGGGCGUGUAGGCGGUUUUCUAAGUUUGGUGUGAAAUCUCCCGGCUUAACCGGGAGGGUGCGCCGAAAACUGGGAGACUAGAGUGCGGGAUGGGAGAGUAGAAUUCCUGGUGUAGCGGUGAAAUGCGUAGAUAUCAGGAGGAAUACCGGUGGUGUAGACGGCUCUCUGGACCGCAACUGACGCUGAGACACGAAAGCGUGGGUAGCAAACAGG
Molecule: ribosomal RNA, 253 nt
Filed under: uncultured bacterium
Lineage: Bacteria
Description: partial 16S ribosomal RNA
Rfam family: Bacterial small subunit ribosomal RNA
Source: RNAcentral